AUUUUCAUCACAACAGGACUUUCUUGGAAGCAUUGAGCAAGGGUGAGAACAGACAUGAGGCUGAUUUCUCUAUGCUCUCACAUGCAGGCAGAAUUCUAAAUUGGCCAAGAUUCCUGUCCCCUGGUUGUUCAAUCAAACACAGAUUGAGACACUGCUGGGAAGGGGCUGUGCAACUGGUAUUCACAUUUCCAACCACUGGACCUUAAGAUACGGAGAUUACCCAGCUCAAGGCCAUUCUGUACUUCAGAGUUUGGACAACCAUUCUGCAAAGUGCUGAAGAUAGAACUCUUCGACUUAAAAGUCCCAAGAUUAAGAGCUAUGCCACAGCUUUGCAGGGGAAUAUUUGUUCUAUUGCCUCUGGAAAUACCACAGUUAGAUAGAACAGCGAUAUCAGGCAGAGUUUGGAAAGCACAGAGCUGUUACAGAGCAGUCUGUUUUCCUGAUUCUCAGAGUCUUAAUAUUUUAAGACCGACAUUACUCAUCUAUGACUGAACCAUCUGCCCGGGGACGCUCUUCCAUGGCUCAGGGACCAGGAGUAACUGGAUGUGAUGAGAGACUGGGGUGGAACCAGCCUGCUCCUGAAGAUUGAGCCCUGGGGCUUGGAGAGCCAGCAAAGCACUGCACAGAUGAGACUGUUCCCGUUACAUCCAGUUCUGCUGAGGUCAUGGAGUCCUGCCUUGUUUAAAUUAGACUUUACGCCAUAUUUAGUCAACCUUCCUAGAGUUAGAAGUUGAGUGUCUCUGUUGUCUUCAGUUGGCUGAGUCUCCAUCAAGCUGCAAGUCAUAACACGCGAUGAGACCAAGCAGUGCUGGCUGCAGGGUUACUCAACACACAGUGCUAGGUGCCAGCACCCGAGCCAUCCUCUCGGAUAAUGUGAAAGAAAACGGACCCCCAAUGAUGCUAGGAUGACAGGGAAAUUUUCUCCAGGGAAAGUCUGCCUGCCAGCACACAAACGUCUACACCCACAUCCAUACCACGUGCCAGGCUUUCCAAUUCUCUAUUUUUUUCUUCUUCAAUAUUCAACUUCUAUUUUCAC
Non-coding RNA from Sus scrofa (pig), 1036 nucleotides. The record is from RefSeq and is a predicted model, not a curated record. Lineage: Eukaryota; Metazoa; Chordata; Mammalia; Artiodactyla; Suidae.